Molecule: non-coding RNA, 92 nt
Organism: Triticum aestivum (bread wheat)
Lineage: Eukaryota; Viridiplantae; Streptophyta; Magnoliopsida; Poales; Poaceae
Source: Rfam
UAAAUACUCCCUCCGUCCGAAAAUACUUGUCAUCAAAAUGGACCUUUUUAUCCAUUUUCAUGACAAGUAUUUUCGGAUAGAGGGAGUACAUA